UGAGUAACCUGCCCUUCACUCUGGGAUAACUCCGGGAAACCGGGGCUAAUACUGGAUAUGACUCGAACAGGCAUCUGUUUCGGGUGGAAAGAUUUAUUGGUGGAGGAUGGACUCGCGGCCUAUCAGCUUAUUGGUGAGGUAAUGGCUCACCAAGGCGACGACGGGUAGCCGGCCUGAGAGGGCGACCGGCCACACUGGGACUGAGACACGGCCCAGACUCCUACGGGAGGCA
RNAcentral lists this ribosomal RNA (232 nucleotides) under uncultured bacterium. Its description in RNAcentral is "partial 16S ribosomal RNA". It matches the Rfam family "Bacterial small subunit ribosomal RNA", at positions 118 to 350 of the family's 1533-position model. The record is from RNAcentral.